RNAcentral lists this long non-coding RNA (714 nucleotides) under Salmo salar (Atlantic salmon). RNAcentral describes it as "lncRNA (ENSSSAG00000101535.1)". Lineage: Eukaryota; Metazoa; Chordata; Actinopteri; Salmoniformes; Salmonidae. The record is from RNAcentral.
GGUCAGGUCAGGCCGCCUAGCUGCAGGUCAGGUCAGGUCCGCUAGCUGCAGGUCAGGUCAGGCCGCCUAGCGGCAGGUCAGGUCAGGCCGCCUAGCGGCAGGUCAGGUCAGGUCCGCUAGCGGCAGGUCAGGUCAGGUCGCCUAGCUGCAGGUCAGGUCAGGCCGCCUAGCGGCAGGUCAGGUCGCCUAGCGGCGGUUAAGAGAUUUGGGCUAGUAACUGAAAGGUCGCUGGUUCGAAUCCCCCAAACCAGGUGAAAAAUCUGCCCGAUGUGCCCUUGAGCAAGGCACUUAACAUGAAUUGCUCCUGUAAGUCGUUUUGGAUAAGAGCGUCUGCUAAAUGACAUGAAUGUAAGUGGAAUGUUGAACAUCCCCUUCUCUAAUACCUGUUUUAUUAGAGCAUGUUCAGUUCUGUCAGUGUAAAGGCAUGUCAUCACCUGUCAGCAGUGCUGUGAAUAAGCCCCACUUGUUACAACAGGCUACGCUGGGUGCAGACAGAGAUGACCCAGAACUGACAGGAAUUAAUUAGCCAUUUCACAUUAUGGAUCAUGACCACACUGACUGUAUCAAUAUUCUGACUGUAUAGUGCAAAUGCCACAUAGCAAUUAUUAAUUUGAAUAAUUAGGGAUUUAUAAAACUAAAAAGAAUGUUAAUUACAUUAUACACAGGUCCAACGACAUGUAGUCAUUGCACUGUUAUCAGAAAUACACAAUUUAC